This 952-nucleotide ribosomal RNA is filed under the name uncultured bacterium. RNAcentral's name for it is "bacterial SSU rRNA". It matches the Rfam family "Bacterial small subunit ribosomal RNA", at positions 530 to 1472 of the family's 1533-position model. The record is from RNAcentral.
CAAGUCCAGCGUUGUUCGGAUUUACUGGGCGUAAAGGGUGCGUAGGUGGUAGGGUAAGUUCUAGGUGAAAGCUUCGGGCUCAACCCGAAAAUUGCCUCGUAAUACUAUUCUGCUAGAGGGUCGGAAGGGAGACUGGAAUUCUCGGUGUAGCAGUGAAAUGCGUAGAUAUCGAGAGGAACACCUGUGGCGAAGGCGAGUCUCUGGACGAUUCCUGACACUGAGGCACGAAAGCUAGGGGAGCAAACGGGAUUAGAUACCCCGGUAGUCCUAGCUGUAAACGGUGCGCACUUGCUGUAAGAGGAUUCGAACCCUUUUGUGGCGAAGUUAACACGUUAAGUGCGCCGCCUGGGGAGUACGGUCGCAAGACUAAAACUCAAAGAAAUUGACGGGGGCCUGCACAAGCGGUGGAGUAUGUGGCUUAAUUCGAUGCAACGCGAAGAACCUUACCUAGCCUUGACAUGUAUGUAGUAGAAGCCUGAAAGGGUAACGAGGUAGCAAUACCAGCAUACACAGGUGCUGCAUGGCUGUCGUCAGCUCGUGUCGUGAGAUGUUGGGUUAAGUCCCGCAACGAGCGCAACCCUUGCAUUUUGUUGCCACCUUCGCGCGAGCGAAGAGCACUCGAAAUGGACUGCCUCGCUUAAAACGAGGAGGAAGGUGGGGAUGACGUCAAGUCAGUAUGGCCCUUACGGCUAGGGCUGCACACGUACUACAAUGCCUAGCACAAAGGGAAGCAAACCAGUAAUGGGGAGCGAAUCCUAAAAAGUAGGCCCAGUUCAGAUUGUCGUCUGCAACUCGACGACAUGAAGCUGGAAUCGCUAGUAAUGGCGCAUCAGCUACGGCGCCGUGAAUACGUUCCCAGGCCUUGUACACACCGCCCGUCACAUCAUGAAAGCCGUCUGCACCCAAAGUCGUUAGAUAACCGCAGGAUGUCUGCGCCUAAGGUAUGGGUGUA